GAGUUUGAUCAUGGCUCAGAUUGAACGCUGGCGGCAGGCCUAACACAUGCAAGUCGAGCGGUAGAGAGAAGCUUGCUUCUCUUGAGAGCGGCGGACGGGUGAGUAAUGCCUAGGAAUCUGCCUGGUAGUGGGGGAUAACGUUCGGAAACGGACGCUAAUACCGCAUACGUCCUACGGGAGAAAGCAGGGGACCUUCGGGCCUUGCGCUAUCAGAUGAGCCUAGGUCGGAUUAGCUAGUUGGUGAGGUAAUGGCUCACCAAGGCGACGAUCCGUAACUGGUCUGAGAGGAUGAUCAGUCACACUGGAACUGAGACACGGUCCAGACUCCUACGGGAGGCAGCAGUGGGGGAAUAUUGGACAAUGGGCGAAAGCCUGAUCCAGCCAUGCCGCGUGUGUGAAGAAGGUCUUCGGAUUGUAAAGCACUUUAAGUUGGGAGGAAGGGCAGUUACCUAAUACGUGAUUGUUUUGACGUUACCGACAGAAUAAGCACCGGCUAACUCUGUGCCAG
This 508-nucleotide ribosomal RNA is filed under the name bacterium enrichment culture clone ALO1_GLFRUDD03GEPRO. Its description in RNAcentral is "bacterial SSU rRNA". It matches the Rfam family "Bacterial small subunit ribosomal RNA", at positions 9 to 511 of the family's 1533-position model. The record is from RNAcentral.